AGGCGGAGGAGAAAGAGGACAAGUGCGGGAAGCUGAGCUUGCGGCCGGCCAAGAGCAUGGACUCGCUCAGCUCCGUGCCCUUCGGCGGAGAGGAGGACCCCCGGCUCAGCACCACGCGCUCGGUGAAGCAGCCGCCGCAGCGCAGGGAGAGCUUCGACACCUGCCCCUCGCCGGGGCCGGCAGAGCCCUUCCCCGCGCUGCAGGAGAGCCCCGAGGAGAAGCCGAAGGCGCAGGAGGAGCUGCGGGGGGGCCCCGAAGCGGAGGGCGAGAGCGGAGCCAGGUCGGAGCCCAGCACCCCCAAACCGGGCCGGGCGGCACUGCUGGGGGCCUGGGGGGGGCCGCUCACCCGCGGCCACCCGCAGCCGCGCCGAGAAGUGCGGGGGGGUGCACAUCUCCGGGCCCUUCUCCGUCACCGUCCCCUUCCACAUCACCUCCAACCUCUCCCGCCUGACGCGGGGGCAGCCGUGCCCAGGCGCUGGGCUCCGCCAGCCCCCCGCCACCCACCCACCGCAGCGCCGGGGAGCCCGCGGCCCCCGAAAUCCCCACGGGUGAGAUAUUUGGGGAUGGGACAGACCCGGUGACACCGGGGGGGGGGGUUUUGGGGAACCCCCCUGACCCUCAGGGUGUCUUCCAGGGGAGGCGAAGGCGGCGGAGGAGACGCGGCUGUCGCUGGAGCUGCGCGCCUCCUUCGCCUUCCUGGACAGCCAGGACGCGGGGCUGGAGCACGGGGACGGGGACGGGGACGCGGCGGGACGGGCUGCCACCCUGGGGGCAGCAGCCUCGAGGACGGUGACGGGUUCCUGGCCCUCGAGGAGGGCAUGGAGGGCGGCUUCAUGAACCCCGGGGAGCCCCCCGCGGAGCAGCCGGGCAGUUACCUGUCCAUCGAGGAGUGCAUGGACGAGGAGCUCUUCUACAUGGCGCCCAGCGGCUCCGAGCCCGAGGACGCGGCGGGGGACAGCGACUCGGACAUGUUCCUCAGCGCCCACGACGAGCUCAGCCCACUGGCGGCUGAGCCCCCCGCCGGGCCGGGGGGGGUGGGCACGGGCACGGCCUGGGGGCCGCCGAGCCCCCCGCUGCCGCGGGACACGUCCCCAUCGCCGGCGGGGGAAGAGGCUCCGGGUACUGGGGAGCACGGAGAAGCCCCCCCCGGGGAGGCGGAGGAGGGGGGGGCGUCAGGAUGGCCCCUGGAGGAAGAAGAGGAGGAGCACAGGGGGGGCGGCGGGGAGGGGACCCCCGGUGGUGGCUGCAGCCUGGGGAGAACUGAGCCGAGCCCCCAAAUGGGGCCGGGGGCCGAGGCAGGAGCGGAGCCGGCUCCCGGUGCCCCAGACGGGGAAGUGGAGGAGGACGGGGCCGGCGCUGAGCCCCCCACACCAGAGCAGCCGGGGCAGGGGUCCCAUGCACCCCCCCCAGCCGAGGAGCCCCCCUCACAGCCCACCGAUCCCCUGAUCUCCGAGGCUCCCUCGGAGGCUCUGCCCCCGCCGGGAUCCAGCCCCGAGGAGGGCUCAAGCCCCCCCAUAGCCCCCACCCCACAGCUGGAGGCCGCUGGGGGGGCCCAUCCCACCCCCGGCGGGGCCGUGCUGCGCCGUGACGGCAGCGCCCCGGUGCGCCUGGCCGCCCGCCUGGUGCGGGUGCAGCAGGCCCGCUCCUGUGCCCGUGGUGCCGCCCAAGCCGCAGUUCGCCAUCGUCCCCCCGGCCCUGCGGCCCAGGACCCUCCCGGCUGAGGGCGCCGACGCCGCCAGCCCCCCCCCAAAAAACGGGACGGCUCCCGGGAGCCCCGUUGGGGAGGGGGCCGUGGGGCGGCGGGCGGGGUGGCGGGAGGGGGGCAGCGUCUCCUUGGACGGUGCCGCCGGUGCGGCGGCCGAGCGGCAGCCGGUGCGGAGGAUGCAGACGUACGGCGGCGAGGAGCAGGCGCCCGGUGCCGCCAAGGCGCUGCCGUUCCAGCGGGCCCCCCUGCGCCCCCGCCUGCUGCGGCCCCUCAGCUGCGUGGCCGCCCCCCAGGGCCCCCCUCAGCGCGGCCGCCCGGGCCCGGCGCAGGAGGAGGAGGCCGGGGAGGCCCGGGGCACCGCGAGGAGGCCGCU
Molecule: long non-coding RNA, 2078 nt
Filed under: Anas platyrhynchos (mallard)
Lineage: Eukaryota; Metazoa; Chordata; Aves; Anseriformes; Anatidae
Description: lncRNA (ENSAPLG00020003807.1)
Source: RNAcentral